Stegodyphus dumicola is the source of this 174-nucleotide long non-coding RNA. Lineage: Eukaryota; Metazoa; Arthropoda; Arachnida; Araneae; Eresidae. The record is from RefSeq and is a predicted model, not a curated record.
GACCGCAAUUAUAGGCAUAAUUCGUUUUGUGCUGAAUGUAUAGCGAACUGGUGAAUGCGAUCUGGCGAUCUUUUAUCCCUGAAUUUCUGCAUGUAUAGGAUGUAGUUGCAGAUUAAAUAAUUACAUGGUUCUGCUCGAUUUAGGGAAAGAAAUGAAUACGGUGUACUUAAAAGG